UCCCCGGUGGUCCAGGGGUUAGGAGUCUGCUUUUUCACUGCAGAGGGCCCAGGUUCAAUCCCUGGUCAGGGAA
This is a transfer RNA of Ovis aries (sheep), 73 nucleotides long. It matches the Rfam family "tRNA". Rfam says of the family: Transfer RNA (tRNA) molecules are approximately 80 nucleotides in length. Their secondary structure includes four short double-helical elements and three loops (D, anti-codon, and T loops). Further hydrogen bonds mediate the characteristic L-shaped molecular structure. tRNAs have two regions of fundamental functional importance: the anti-codon, which is responsible for specific mRNA codon recognition, and the 3' end, to which the tRNAs corresponding amino acid is attached (by aminoacyl-tRNA synthetases). tRNAs cope with the degeneracy of the genetic code in two manners: having more than one tRNA (with a specific anti-codon) for a particular amino acid; and 'wobble' base-pairing, i.e. permitting non-standard base-pairing at the 3rd anti-codon position. The record is from Rfam. NCBI's taxonomy places the organism in Eukaryota, Metazoa, Chordata, Mammalia, Artiodactyla, Bovidae.